ACGGAAGGCAGCAGUGGGGAAUAUUGCACAAUGGGGGAAACCCUGAUGCAGCGACGCCGCGUGAGUGAAGAAGUUAUUCGUAAUGUAAAGCUCUAUCAGCAGGGAAGAAAAUGACGGUACCUGACUAAGAAGCCCCGGCUAACUACGUGCCAGCAGCCGCGGUAAUACGAAGGGGGCAAGCGUUAUCCGGAUUUACUGGGUGUAAAGGGAGCGUAGACGGUCUAGCAAGUCUGAUGUGAAAGGCAGGGGCUCAACUCCUGGACUGCAUUGGAAACUGUUAGUCUUGAGUGUCGGAGAGGUAAGCGGAAUUCCUAGUGUAGCGGUGAAAUGCGUAGAUAUUAGGAGGAACACCAGUGGCGAAGGCGGCUUACUGGACGAUAACUGACGUUGAGGCUCGAAAGCGUGGGGAGCAAACAGGAUUAGAUACCCUGGUA
This 434-nucleotide ribosomal RNA is filed under the name uncultured Lachnospiraceae bacterium. RNAcentral describes it as "partial 16S ribosomal RNA". It matches the Rfam family "Bacterial small subunit ribosomal RNA", at positions 341 to 792 of the family's 1533-position model. The record is from RNAcentral. Lineage: Bacteria; Bacillati; Bacillota; Clostridia; Lachnospirales; Lachnospiraceae.